RNAcentral lists this long non-coding RNA (219 nucleotides) under Malus domestica (apple). RNAcentral's name for it is "long non-coding RNA (MDOM_LNC019692)". Lineage: Eukaryota; Viridiplantae; Streptophyta; Magnoliopsida; Rosales; Rosaceae. The record is from RNAcentral.
AUGACUCCAUAAGAUGUAGUUGGAAAAGAAAGACAAAUCUUAAGCAUGUUAAAGAUUUGGGGUUGUGUGAUAAUAAGCAAUAUUCGUUUGAUAACAAUCUUGUAGGAUAUCCUUGAAAUAACUUUUGGAUAUCGCUUCUAUAAACCAACUAACAAAUGUUGUUUUGUUGGGAAGUUCAUUGUAAUCCUACAAUGUGAUUUGCCUAAGAGCAAAUGAACG